CCCUACGGGGGGCAGCAGUGAGGAAUAUUGGUCAAUGGGCGAGAGCCUGAACGAGCAAUGCCGCGUGAACGAGGAAGGUCUUCGGAUCGUAAAGUUCUGUUGAAGGGGAAAAAGAGCGGAGAGAGGAAAUGGUCUCCGAUUGAUAUUACCCUUCGAGGAAGUCACGGCUAACUACGUGCCAGCAGCCGCGGUAAUACGUAGGUGGCGAGCGUUAUCCGGAAUGAUUGGGCGUAAAGGGUGCGUAGGCGGCCUGCUAAGUCUGGAGUGAAAGGUACCGGCUCAACCGGUACUGGCUCUGGAAACUG
This 305-nucleotide ribosomal RNA is filed under the name uncultured bacterium. RNAcentral's name for it is "bacterial SSU rRNA". It matches the Rfam family "Bacterial small subunit ribosomal RNA", at positions 337 to 635 of the family's 1533-position model. The record is from RNAcentral.